Molecule: long non-coding RNA, 27738 nt
Filed under: Glycine max (soybean)
Lineage: Eukaryota; Viridiplantae; Streptophyta; Magnoliopsida; Fabales; Fabaceae
Description: long non-coding RNA (GMAX_LNC001384)
Source: RNAcentral
GUGAUAGAGGACUACCCUUAUGCUGUUGAUGGACUUGAAAUAUGGGAUGCUAUUAAGACAUGGGUCCAUGAGUAUGUCUCUGUGUAUUACCCAACAAAUGCAGCAAUUCAACAAGACACUGAACUUCAAGCAUGGUGGAAGGAAGUUGUGGAGAAGGGUCAUGGUGACUUAAAAGAUAAGCCUUGGUGGCCUAAACUGCAGACUGUGGAGGAUCUCAUUCAAUCCUGCUCUAUUAUCAUAUGGACAGCUUCGGCUCUCCAUGCAGCUGUUAAUUUUGGGCAAUACCCUUAUGGAGGUUAUAUCGUGAACCGUCCAACUCUAGCCAGAAGGUUUAUCCCAGAAGAAGGAACCAAAGAAUAUGAUGAGAUGGUGAAGGAUCCUCAAAAGGCAUAUCUGAGAACAAUCACACCCAAGUUCGAGACCCUUAUUGACAUUUCAGUGAUAGAGAUAUUGUCAAGGCAUGCUUCUGAUGAGGUCUACCUUGGCCAAAGGGAUAAUCCAAAUUGGACUACGGAUUCAAAGGCAUUGGAAGCUUUCAAAAAGUUUGGAAACAAACUGGCAGAAAUUGAGGGAAAAAUCACACAGAGGAACAAUGAUCCAAGUCUGAAAAGCCGACAUGGGCCAGUUCAGCUUCCAUACACAUUGCUCCAUCGUUCAAGUGAGGAAGGGAUGAGUUUCAAAGGAAUUCCCAACAGUAUCUCCAUCUAAAAUGUGUGUGUGGUUUGCUUAUCUAUUGUGCUUUUGAAUAAAAUAGACAAUACUUGUCUAUGGUUAUUAUUGGCUGUAUGUCUGUAUUUGGAUGCUCUCGAUCGGUUUGCAAGUAAUAAGAGUGUUUUCACUGUCACUUUGUAUUUCGAUCAUCUUAAUUAUGUUUACUAGUAAUAAUGUGGAAGCUGUACGUUUGUUAAUUCUAGGUUAAAUAAUAGAGCAAUUGUUUUUGAACUAUUUGAGAAUUGUUAAGGUCUCUUCACUAGAUCACUAUGAAAUCCUUUCUCACCACUACCAUGAUUUAUGACCAAGUCCUUCAACUAUGUCACAUGCUUACCUUUCUUGUGAGUCGUAGUCUAGCUACAUGACACAAUUCUUAGGGACCAUAUUCUUGAUAUCACUUCUCUGACUCAUAAACAAAGAUAAUAUAUAUAUAUAUAUAUAUAUAUAUAUGAUCAGUUUUUUUAUUGAUCUACAAUAUCCAUCUCAAUAUUUUAAAUAUAUCAUUGCUUCACAUAUUCCACUGAUUUCCAAAGAAGUCAAUGUAGAAUGACAAUGUGAAAAUCAUUUUUUAUACUAGUGAAUCAGUAUUUCAUGUUUCUUUAGAAAGAUAAUUUUUUUAUAAAUAGUUAUUAAAUGAUUUAUUUUUAUUUAAUAAUUUUAUAAUAAAUAUUUUUUUAUUUUCUUAAUUGGUAGCAUAUUCAUAUAAUUAAAAAUAGAAAAGAUAAUCCGGAACGUCCAAACUCAAUUAAAAAGAAACAUAAAUUAUUAUUUAAAACAUAAACCAUAUUUUUAAAAAAAACCUAACCCAAUGCCACUGUGUAUAUAAGAACAGAAGAAAUCAAAAGAAUCAAUUUGAAUAUAAUUAAGUAUGCAUAGAACGUGUUGCAUAUGGGGGAGGAGGUGCCCAUAGAAAAAUGAAUUAACCGGUGGAGCUCAUAUUAAAAAAAUGAUGUUUAUACUUUCUCCCUUCUCAAGUCCUCUAUAAAUACCAAAAUAUUCUUGGCUUCCUCACACCACAAGCUUCUCCUUCUUUUGGGAAAAGAUUAACAAUAAAAGUGUGGAGUACUGUUGAUAGCAAAGAUGUUUGGGAUCUUCGACAAGGGGCAAAAGAUAAAGGGGACAGUGGUGUUGAUGCCAAAGAAUGUGUUGGACUUCAACGCCAUAACCUCCAUCGGUAAAGGUGGUGUUAUUGACACAGCCACCGGCAUCUUAGGCCAAGGCGUCAGCUUAGUUGGUGGAGUAAUUGAUACUGCCACUUCCUUCUUAGGCCGUAAUAUCUCCAUGCAAUUGAUCAGUGCUACUCAGACUGAUGGUUUGUUCACUCUCAUCCUUCAAACUCUUUUCUGUAAUAACAUUACAUUAUAUUAAUAAUUGUUUUCAAUAAUUCAAAUUUAAUAGUUAUGCACUUACUGACCCCACUGUGUAAAUUAUUUCAUUUACAAAUUAUAUUUGGUAUGACUUUUGACAUAAUAAUAAUUACAAAAUUAUCAUUUUUGUAUUUUGAUCACAGUAUAAAACAAGUCUCGUAUAAUUAUACUAAAGAUUGUAGUACCAAAAUUAGACUCUUAAUAAUUAAUACUACCGCUGACACAUCCCAUGCAUCCAGCUCUAGUUAUUCUUGAAAUAUGCAAGGGCCAAGGCCAAGGAGUCACUUACCUAACUUUACCUUGUAUCUCUUAGGCUUUGAAUAUAUUUUUCUUAGAUAAGAUAACAAAAAAUAUUAUUUUGAUGAAGUUAACUUUACAAAGGAAGAAAAAAUAAAUAAAAAAUUCAUUAUAAGAAUUAAAUUCACAAUUUACGUUCCAACAUUAAAUCCACUACACAACCAGGCUGAUGCAAGUAUCACUUUUUACAGAUUAUUGGUCGAUCACAAUCUCACAAACUCAUCACUUAUAACUAUUUUUUUUAUGAAUUGUUGUUUUGUAUGGUUUUUGCAGGCAGUGGAAAUGGGAAAGUUGGAAAAGAAGUCUAUUUGGAAAAACAUCUUCCGACCUUGCCAACGUUGGGAGCAAGGCAGGAUGCGUUCAGUAUUUUCUUUGAAUGGGAUGCUAGUUUUGGAAUUCCAGGAGCAUUUUACAUCAAAAACUUUAUGACUGAUGAGUUUUUCCUCGUCAGUGUUAAACUCGAGGACAUUCCAAACCAUGGAACCAUUGAAUUUGUUUGCAACUCAUGGGUUUACAACUUCAGGAGUUACAAAAAGAAUCGCAUUUUCUUUGUCAAUGAUGUAAGCUUCUUUGUUUUUUUCAAUUAUGGUCCCAAUCAAUUUUGUUUUCAUUCUUUAAAUGAAAUAUAUUGUAGACAUAUCUUCCAAGUGCCACACCAGCUCCACUACUUAAGUACAGAAAAGAAGAAUUGGAGGUUUUAAGAGGAGAUGGAACAGGGAAGAGAAAGGACUUUGACAGAAUCUAUGAUUAUGAUGUCUAUAAUGAUUUGGGCAAUCCAGAUGGUGGUGAUCCUCGCCCAAUCCUUGGUGGGUCUAGCAUCUAUCCCUACCCUCGCAGGGUUAGAACAGGAAGAGAAAGGACCAGGACAGGUUAGACUUUUAUUUUUUGUCUUAUGUAUUCAAUUAUCAUGUUAGUAUUAUAAAAAGGUAACCAAUAAAUAAUAUUACAUUCGAUUUCUUUAAAUAAAAUUUUGAUUUUAACCUUGUAAAUGAGAAAAAAGUAAUUUAAAAUGAAAGAUCUGUCAGUGAAUUUUCCAAUAAACUGUAAUCAACAAUAUCAAUAUGCGAUGUGAUUGUAGAAUGGUAUGAUAUAAUUGUGUUGAGAAUAUAUAUCUAAUAAUACCAUUUCCAAUGAUACAAAAAAUAUUUAUUUGAUUAUUGUUUGAGCGGUAACAGAUCCCAACAGUGAGAAACCGGGCGAGGUUUAUGUUCCAAGAGAUGAAAAUUUUGGUCACUUGAAGUCAUCGGAUUUCCUUACAUACGGAAUCAAAUCCUUAUCUCACGAUGUGAUACCUUUGUUCAAAUCUGCAAUUUUUCAAUUAAGGGUCACAUCGAGUGAGUUUGAAAGCUUCGAAGAUGUGCGUAGUCUCUAUGAGGGUGGAAUUAAAUUGCCAACAGAUAUACUGAGCCAAAUUAGCCCCUUACCAGCCCUCAAGGAAAUCUUCCGCACUGAUGGUGAAAAUGUUCUUCAAUUUCCACCACCUCAUGUAGCCAAAGGUACCUUAGUUACCUAUAUUAAUCAAAACAACUUAAAUAUAUUAGCAUUUGUUGAAUUAAAUAAUCGAUCCGAUUUGACAAUUAAUUAUGAUUUGAGCAGUUAGUAAGUCUGGGUGGAUGACUGAUGAGGAAUUUGCUAGAGAGGUGAUUGCCGGUGUAAACCCAAAUGUGAUCCGUCGUCUUCAAGUAAGUCCGAAUGCUUUUUUUAUUAUUAAGUCUUUAAAAUGGUGAAUUUUUAUGUCAAUGUUAAAUUGUUUUAUGGCCAAACUAACAAAGACUCACUAUCUUUCCUCAUAUCAUUCUUCAAUAAUGUCAGGAAUUCCCACCAAAGAGCACACUUGAUCCCACACUCUAUGGUGAUCAAACCAGUACCAUAACAAAAGAACAAUUGGAGAUUAACAUGGGAGGGGUCACAGUAGAAGAGGUAAUGAUAUAUAUAUAUAUAUAUUAACAGUAAAAUAUCAUUGAAUUUCUAUCUUUUUGCUAUGUUAUCUUACAAUUUCUUUUUAAUAAUUUUCUAAUACAAAAUAAAAAAUGAGUUACACUUGAUUAAUAUAUAAAAAAAAAAGUCAAUCUUUUGAAAUUCGAAGCUAUGAAACAGUGUCUGAAAUUAAAUUUUGCGGAACAGGCACUUAGUACUCAGAGAUUAUUCAUAUUAGAUUACCAAGAUGCAUUCAUCCCAUAUUUGACGAGGAUAAACAGCCUACCUACUGCAAAAGCUUAUGCCACAAGGACAAUCCUGUUCUUGAAAGAUGAUGGUACUUUGAAGCCACUUGCUAUUGAAUUAAGCAAACCACAUCCAGAUGGAGAUAAUUUGGGUCCUGAGAGUAUAGUGGUGUUGCCUGCAACUGAAGGUGUUGAUAGUACAAUUUGGCUAUUGGCCAAGGCUCAUGUUAUUGUGAAUGACUCUGGUUAUCAUCAGCUCGUGAGCCAUUGGUAAUUGAACUUCUCUAGCAAUAUUUAGUCAUGUCUUGUAAAAUGAAAAAAUAAAGUCCAUGUAUAGCGUGUGUGAGUAUGAGUUUAUCAUUGACCUUUUUUUUUGUUGGGGUUACAGGUUAAAUACUCAUGCAGUGAUGGAACCAUUUGCCAUAGCAACCAAUAGGCAUCUCAGUGUGCUCCACCCUAUUUAUAAACUUCUUUAUCCUCACUACCGCGACACCAUAAAUAUCAAUGGACUUGCUAGGCAGUCCCUGAUUAAUGCAGAUGGCAUUAUAGAGAAAUCAUUUUUGCCCGGAAAGUACUCCAUUGAGAUGUCUUCAUCCGUCUACAAGAAUUGGGUUUUCACUGACCAAGCAUUACCAGCUGAUCUCGUCAAGAGGUAUUUAUUGUAAAAGUCAACCAUUGGUCUGAAAUAUUGUUUUUUCUUAGUAGUACAUAGUAGUAAUUAAGAUACUGUAAAAAUCAACCAACUUAUCAUACAUAUUAAUUUGUGAUUAGAUGAUACUACUAUGCUAUUUUUACUCUUGAAAGAUAUUGAGGUUUGGAAUGUGUUUUUAUUUUUGUUUUGGGGCUUGAUUCAGAGGAUUGGCAAUUGAAGAUCCCUCUGCACCCCAUGGCCUUCGCCUUGUGAUAGAGGACUACCCUUAUGCUGUUGAUGGACUUGAAAUAUGGGAUGCUAUUAAGACAUGGGUUCAUGAAUAUGUCUCCUUGUAUUACCCAACAGAUGCAGCAGUUCAACAAGAUACUGAACUACAAGCAUGGUGGAAGGAAGCUGUGGAGAAGGGUCAUGGUGACUUAAAAGAAAAGCCUUGGUGGCCUAAAAUGCAGACAACUGAAGAUCUCAUUCAAUCAUGCUCUAUUAUCGUUUGGACAGCUUCGGCUCUCCAUGCUGCUGUUAAUUUUGGACAAUAUCCUUAUGGGGGCUUAAUCCUGAACCGUCCAACUCUAGCCAGAAGGUUUAUCCCAGCUGAAGGAACCCCAGAGUAUGAUGAGAUGGUGAAGAAUCCUCAAAAGGCUUAUCUGAGAACAAUCACACCCAAGUUUGAGACCCUUAUUGAUCUUUCAGUGAUAGAGAUAUUGUCAAGGCAUGCUUCUGAUGAGAUAUACCUUGGAGAGAGGGAGACUCCAAAUUGGACUACUGAUAAGAAGGCAUUAGAAGCUUUCAAAAGGUUUGGAAGCAAACUGACUGGAAUUGAAGGAAAAAUCAAUGCAAGGAACAGUGAUCCAAGUCUGAGAAACCGGACUGGGCCAGUUCAGCUGCCAUACACUUUGCUCCAUCGUUCAAGUGAGGAAGGGUUGACUUUCAAAGGAAUUCCCAACAGUAUCUCUAUCUAAUUAAAAAGAGUUUGUGGUUUCCUUAUCUAUGUUGUACUUCUGAAUAACAUAGACUUUAUGCAUGUCUAUGCGUAAUUAUUGCCUGAACUUCUGCACUAUUGUAUUUGGAUGCUCUCGGUUUUCAUAUAAUAAAGUGUGUUCUCACUUUCACUUUGUAUUUAGUUCAUCUUAUGUUUACCAGUAAUAAUACAGAAGCGAUCGCGUUUAUUACUACAAUAACAAACACAGUAUAUGCAUAUAGUAAAUUAAAAUAACAUAUUUUAUAAGUUGCAACUAUAACUAACCGUUACAAAGAGUGUGAGAAUUAUGACUUUCAAAUUUAACAAUGUUAAUAUAAUUUGGUUACAUUUCCUUAUCAACAAAAUCAUUUAAAAUCAAGUGGCAGUCAAAUACUUUUAUAAAGCUCUCUGAGGUUUGAGGAAUUUUGAAGCCUAUUUUGACCUUCAUGGUUCCCGGAACUCAAUUGACCUAAACUUUUCAUAAUAAUAAAAAAAAUCAAUUUAUUUCAAGUCAAAUUACUCUUGUGGAUCUGAAAUAUUUACCAUUGAUUAAAACAUUAUUAAAGAAAAAUAUGUAGUUGUAUUUUAUUAAUUUAUAAAUUUGUAGUACUCUUAAUUUAUAAGGGAGUAUAAGUCUAACAUAAAGGAUUAUAAUUGGAAGAAGGAUGAUGUUGGUUAUUUUUUAGUUAAAAGUAAUUUUGGAAGGGUUCAAAUGUCCAUCCAAACAUAGGCUUAGUUAAUGCAUAUUUGAAUUAAAGUUUACAAAUUUAAACUUGCAAAAAUAUUUCAACUCUUAAUUCUUUAAAAUUAAGUGUCCAGGCAAAGUUUUACUCUUAAACAUAUUUUUAAAAAAUAACCAACAUGAUCAUAAAUUGAUUUUAUAUUUAAACAUACUUUUAGAAGGCUCCACUGAAAAUUCAAUCAUACCCUUAGUCUUUCACAAAUGGCAAACCAUGUUUUGAAUUCCUCCUAUUAAGAGGUAUACAUAUUUCAUAUCCAUGGUAACUAAAUGUUUUUGAAAGAAGAUAUUUAUCAAAAAAAAUGUAAUUAAUUAAUUAAUUUUUUCUUUUACUUCUAACCAGCAUAAAAUAAUAGUAGUACCAAUCAUGCUACUAUAAUCAUGCAUUCGAGGUGGAUGCUCAUUCAAUUUUUAUUUUAUUUCUUUUACCAUUCUAAGUUUAAGUCAUGAAUAUGUAGUUAAAUACAUACAUAAAGAAUUUGGUUGCUCAUAAUAAUUACACUCGUGACAAUUGUUUUUAACAUCUUAUUAUGUGAAUAAUUAUCUUUAUUUUUCUUUAAUAUAGGUUAUAUAGAUUUCUUAAUUUGCAAAUAAAAGGUUAAAAAAUUAAACAAAUGUUGUUUGGAUGAUAGAAAGUACUAGUUUGAUUAAUUUCCACAAGAUUAGAUACAGAUGUAGAUGAGAAAAUUAAAUUUCAAGAUGUCUAUUUGCAAAAGAGAUAAAAUUUAAGGAUUAACUAAGACAAAAUUAAAAUUUAGAAUGCUUAUUUGUAAAAGAAAUAAAGUUUAACAUAAUUGAAUAUUUUUCCUUUUUUAUGACAAAAAAAUGGACAAUUAUGGAAAUAUAUUAUUUAGAAAAAUGAAACACAUUAGCCCAAAGAACUAAGGUGACAUUUGUUUCAAGGUAUUGAACAAGAUUCCUGAAAAUAUGAACUUGAAAAUAUCAUACUCUCAUGUUUAAUACAAGUUUUGUAAAAAUAUUUUCCAAAAAUGAUUGAUUUUCAGCGAUGUAUAAUACAUGCAAUUGUGUUGCCUCUUAUUCCCAUGAAGAAGGACAGAUAUAUUGGAUUUUCAUGCAAAUAGAACUUAUUUUUUAUAGUAACUACCUAUCCCUACUUCAUUCUUUCAUAUUUCUUUUUUUACUUUUAUUUUUUAAUUAAAUAAAAUUAUUUUUCCUGAAAUUACACUAUUAUAAAACAAACAUAUUUAUGUGAAUAAUAUUCUCAAGCAUAAUAUUUCUAAAAAUAUGAUUCUCAAAUAAAAUUUCAUACCUUGAAACAAACACCCCUAAGGAAAUAAAUUGUAGUGAAAAAUAAAAAUAAAAAACACUUUAAUCUAUUGACGAAGGGAUAAGCCAAACUUAGCCAGCACAUGAGCAGAUUGAUUAGCCUUCAUGAACAUGCCUAAAAGAUAUGUUACCGUCCUUGUUUACUUUUCUUUCAACACAUGAAAAUUUUCUUCAACUUAAUUAGCGUUGCACGAUGACAUUACACAUUUUAACCCUAUUGCAUUAAUUAAUGAAAAAAAUUGUGACUUUUCGUGAGUAACUAAAUCUAACGCCAAUACAUAAAAAAGAAUGUUGAAGUGUUUAACAACGGCAUUAAAAAGUUAACUUCCCUGUUCAUUUCUAUAGCUAUUUUCACAAAGUUGUUUAAUGAACUCGUGACUCGCAUGUGAAUUAUAAUAUUUUGGAAUCAAAUAAAUAUUUAAUAUUAAUUAUUUAAUGACAAGUACAAUUAUGUUCUUUCUACACUUUUUUAUGCAAAACCAUAAUGAAUUAGAAGUAAUAAAAUACUAUUAUUUCUCUAAUACUUAAUGUCAAAACCAAACCCAACUGCCCACGACGAUGUGGAGAGGGAUAAUAAAUGUAUUUUAAUCUGGCCUUUAUGCUAUAUAAUAUGGCCCAUUUGAUUGUCCCAUCCUCUAGAUCUCGAUAAUAUAAUAAAUGCGAACAUAUAGUUUAUUCUUUCAUUCAUAAAGGAUGACUUAAUAUGCUGACUUAAAAAAAUACUUAAUUUAGGUUAAAUUAAUUUAUUAUUCUUUAAAUUUAUUUUUUAGGUUUAAUUUUUUCUUUUAAAUCUUUUGGAAUUUAAUUUGACUUUUUUAAUUUAUAAAAUUGAUUCAAUUUAAUCUUAUCAUCUAAAUUAGAUCAAGAAUGUUACAAAAUCAUACUUUGUGAUUAAUUAAAAUCACUUAGUAACGACUUUAAUCCGUCAAAAACACAUAUUUAGAUAAUAAGAUCAAAUUUAAACAUGAUAAUCACUUAAAUUAAUUUAAAUGAUAAAAUCAAAUUGAAUCGAUUUUAAAAAUUAGAAAAUCAAGUAGAAAAAAAAUUAGAAAAAUAAAUCAAACUAAUUUUAAAAAUUAGAAUGUGAAAUUGAAAUUAAAAAUAAAUUAAAGAAAAAAAAUCUAAUUUAACAUUUUUCACGCUGAGACAUGGAGUAUAGGCACAACUGCACAAGUUUUCCAACUGUGACUGAAAAGAAACAAAAAAAAAACAAAUGUCGUUUUACAACUUUAUGAAAUAUUUUUAUUGUCUCUUUCUCAUCUUAGAGAAUUCUUUUUGAGAUGCUUAUAUAUAAAAAAGUAAAAGUAAAAAAUAAUUAUACAUGAUAUUAAUCAUUUAAUAUUUAAACAAUAGAAAAAGAAAAGGACCACGCAGCUUUUUAAGUGUAGUAAAUUCAUUUACUUUUCGUUUUUCAAUUCAACAAGGGAAAAGACGCGGAUAUGUUAUUAUUUUUACAACACUUUAGAAUCAUAAUUCAUAUAUAUAUAUAUAUAUAUAUAAUGUACUUUAACAUCAUAAGUUUGAGCAUUUGAUCGAAUACAAAUCUAUUAUACAUUGAGUUCGAAGUUAAUUAAAAAUAAACGAUGCAUCUACUAAUCAAUAAAAAAAUUAUUGUUCUGAUCAUAAAAGUUUGUGCUUAUUAUUCUAGUAUUGGGCUCAAUUUUUGAAGUGUUAUAUUCCUUUUUUAAGCCAAAUGUUUAAGAAAACAAUAUAUCAAUUAAAACCAAUUAUCUUUGAUUAAAAUAUUAAAUCAACAUAGACAAAAUCAUUUAAAGAGCAAAAAUAUUAUUAGUGUUUUGUUCUAAUAUCGAUCAAUAUUAUCUUCCUUGUUUGACAUAAAUGAUUAAUUUUUACUCUAUUUCUCUUAUGCAAUCUGAACACGGGAAGGUUGUUAGAAAAUUUACCUUUGGCAAGAAACUAUAUUAUCACAUUCUUAUGAAUCUUAGCUCAUGAUUCUUAGAUAAUACCUUCCAAAAUGAAAAAAAGAAAACAACUCACAUGAUUCACAUUUUUAAUAAUCGACUUGAGAGAAUAAUAAAUUAUCAAAAAGAACCAAACAAAUGAACGCGUCUUACAUCACAUGCCACGUAAAAACAGCCGGGUAAGGUUUUGAAACUCUUAAUAUAUAUAUAUAUAUAUAUUACCUAAAGAAAUUAAUUUUUGGGAUAUAUUUAUUAUUACCAUUAGGUACAUGGUGGCCCCAUGGGUCAUGAGUUAGUUUAUAUUAAAAUGGGUAUUAUGAUAGGAAAUAAUUAGUUUUGUAUUUUUGUAGGAUGGGCACGUUGAACUCUUCUAUAAAAAAGAACGCACGCCGUGAUAUUAUUGUACUGGUUGAUUAAAUCAAACAAAACUAUUAAUAAUUCAUUCCUCUGCCUAUGGCUAUGGAUAAGAUAUGAAUCUGCAAAUACUGAUUUUAAUAUUAUCUGCAAACUCUUCUAUAAUUCAUUCUUAAUUAAGAUUUUAUAUUAUCUGCAAACAAAACGACAAACACGACGUCGACAUGUACGACACAAACACAAAUACUGAUUUUAUUUUAUUUUUUUUCUUACACGCCAAUGAUGAUUCUAAAGCCAUAUUUUAUUUAGUUGAUUUACGUACACACUGUCACGUGGUAAAUUUAUUUUCUUUUAAGUGAGAAAGUACAUUUUAAAAACCCAAAACAUUAUUAUUUAUUAUAUUAAAUAACGGAAAAAAUAUAAUAAUAUUUAAAGUAACUCUUAAAAAAAUGUAAUUUAUUAUAAUAUAAUUUUUCAGUUUUUUUUCUCUUUCAAAACUUAAAUGAUCAAUAAGUUUUUUUUUUAAGAAAGAUAUUCUCAAAUCAUUGUCAGUAUAUUUGAAAAUUUUAAUUAUCUAUCGAUUAUGUUAAAUUUUAUUGAUAUAAUACUCUUUUUUGUUACAAGUAUCUUCCUGCUAACAAUGUAAAUUUUAUUUCUCUUAAUAUAAUAUUUUUUAUACAAAUGAUUCAAAAUUAACCAUUAGUAAUCAAUAAACUAAAUUAAUAAUCUUAAUUAUAUAUUAAAUUUAUGGAGCUUUAUUAGUUCUUAUGGCAUGAUUAUAUUUUUUCCGAAACAAACAAAAAUUAUUAAUUUUAAAGAAUUAUUUUGUUUCAAAAUUCUAGUCCUUUUGACUUUGUUUUUCAACAAAGUCUCAGAUGUGAUUAAGAGAAUAAAUUAAUAUAUACAUUGAAAAGAGACAUCGAUCAUAAACAUAAUAUUUUUGUUUUUUCAAUUUCAUAUUAAUAUGUUUAUAACCAAUUUUUAAUUUUAUUUAUUAUUGUAAAUUAUCGAAAAUAUACGGAAAUUUAUAGAACAUUGUUAUACUACAAUAGUUGGAAAAAAAACGAGUUGUUUUAAUCUAAAUCUAUAUCAAUUGCGUAUUUCUCAACAUGUGUGUCAUGAUUUUAAAAGAUUUAUAUUUUAAAACAGUGGGAGUAUUUUUUAUAAAGUAUUAAAAAAUAGAAGAUUUUAUGUAUUUUUUUCUGCAAAGUAAGGAAUUCAACGUGCCUGACGAAGACAUCAAACAUGAAAUUACGGCGUUGAUGUCACCGACUCGUUUCGUUUAAAUUGAAAAAGAACGAGAAAACAGAAAAAUAAAUAAUAAAUUAAGAUGAAAUUCACACUUAUAUUUUAUUCUAGUUAAAUUUUUUUAUCUCAAUUUACUUUUAUUUUAUUUUUUUCACUCUACUGACGAAUACUCAAUGAAAUGCCAAUUUUUUUUUCUUACUUUGGAGAAAACCUUUCUGAAAUACUGUAAAGAAUUAUCAAACUGAAUAAAAAUUUAAAGAUAUCAAUAUAAUUUAAAAUACUUUAUUGGAAAAAAAAUCACUCUAUAAUAAUUUUUUAAACAUAUUCUUGAAUAUUAUGGGCUAAAAAAUCAAUCACUAAUUCAAAUCAAAUAAUCAAUCAAUCAUUCUUUGUAAUGGAUGCGGUGGCAGAUGUGUGGAUAUGCUUCAGAUUCUGCAGGUGAACUCGGUGACUUGUUAAUUCGUCCUGCUAGACUUAGUUCAUAAUCUAAACAUUUUAGAUGAUAUAGCACAGUUACAACUAUUACUGUAUUACAUAAUUAAUGCUUAAAAGUUUUAAUGAGUUUUUAUUUAUUUAUUAUAUAUAGUUUUAUUUAAUAAUUUUCAUUAAUAUAUAUUUAUCAUAUCUUUCAAAAUCUAUUUGUGUAAUCAUUUUAUCAAAAGCAACAUUAUUUAAAAAAAAAAAAAAACACUUUACAUGCAUGCAGUUGAAAUACAAAGGCAACUAUCUUAUUUUUUUUAUAUAAAUAUUUUUAUGCAACUAUCUUUUCACGAGCCAAAGGCAUCAAUUGCUUACACUACAACAAUUAUAUUCUUUCUUUAACAGGUCAGCAUCAAGAUGAUAACUGGCCAAUCUUAUAAUAUAUAUGUAUAUUUUUUUUGAUUGUGUAUUUUUUAAUAAGAAAAACUUCCAUUCUUAUAUAUAUAUGUAUAUUUUUUUUCUGGUUUAUCUUAUCUUCUGCACCAUUAAAAAGAAAACACGUAGUUGAUUCUUGAUUGUUGGAAUCCAAGGGCAAUGAAUAAUGGACAUGCAGAGGAGAAGUGGGUCUGAUAACGCACGUGGAAAGAAGAAGAAGAAGAAGAAGAUGAUGAUACAUAGCAGAUAAAGUAGUAGCUUUUAUGCAUUCAGACACCAUACAAAACACGGUGUAUCAUUUAUGUGGCUUACUGACUCCGUCUAUGUGAAAGAGAAAAUUACAAAUGAACAGAGCCUAUAAUAAUUGCCCAGCGACAAACCAAGGUUGAUCGAGGAUCAAUCAAUGAAAUUCUAAACAUGCCAUCCUUCAAUUCCCACAUAAUUCAAAACACCAUCAUUUUAAAAACAAAAGAUAAUCAUUUUUAUCUUUGGCAUUAAUCGCUACAUAGUUAUAGCCUCACUAAAACUGUUCUAAUUAUUUUACUUAACAUACUUUAUUUAACAAAUAUUUACAAAGUUCGAUUUGAGAUAAAAUAUUUUCUUUUCUUUUAUUAUUUUUUAUGUUUACUAACAAUUUUUAAAACGGUAUACUUUUAUUCUACUUUUGAAACUUUUCAAAAAUGCUAGACUUAUUCUUAUAUAUAUAUAUAUAUAUAUAUAUAUAUAUAUAGGAUUAUAUUUUAAUAUUUUAUUAUGUAUUUUUUUCAUAAAUAUAAAAAUUUAUACUGCCGGUUAAUAAAAUAAUCUCUUCGAAUAUACUUUUUAAGAAAUUAUUUUCAACUAGCUUUCUUUAUAUUUUAAUUAAACUCUUUCAUAAGUGUCGAUAAAAACAAAAGAAAUGGAUUGCAAAACCUCUCUACCGACCAUAGCCUAUUUCCUUUUCAAGUCAUUUCACUCCUUUCAUCUUCUAUUUGCAUGGUCUAGUGGUUCCUCCUUCGUUCGUUCAUUUACGGGAUUUUUAUGGAAAGGGUGUAAUUUUUUUUCAAUUUUAUUAUUUUGGGGUUGAUUGUUAAAUUAUUACUAAAAAUAGGAUAAGUUGUAACACUUAUUACAACUUAUCCUAUUUUUGGUAAUAAUUUAAAAUCGAUCCCAAAUAAAAAAUUUGAAAAGAAAAAAAAAACAAAAAUUCCAUUUUUAUUAAAAGUCCCUCCAUUUACUUCAUCUCUUUCAAAAGAUAAUUAUUUGGUGUGAGGUUACUUAGGUUUGGCCAACUCGUUUGCCUCGAGGCUAUUUCUUAGCAAUUUAUAAAUUUUGAUGAAUGAAUUUUCCUUAUAAAGUUGGGGACCAUAAUUAUUUUAUUCCUGUGGAUGGUAUGGGUUGCAUGGACCACCAAAGACGUGAGUCAUUGAUGCUACAAUCAUUUAGUUUAGGCCCAAAAACAAACAAACAAAGUUUUGUGAGUCUGACUAGAGAAUUGAGAUUGGUUUUCACCAAUCGCAUCAUUGAUCGUGAUUGAGAGAAAUAUCAUUUUUAUAUUCUCCCUCGCGCACCACGUUCCACCAUUUUUAUUUUUAUUUAUUUAAAAUUGGUCAGGGACUCUUCUUGUUAUAAGCAUAUAUACUUGACAUUUACAAAGCUUUUCCCGAUAAAUAUAUAAAUUUUUUAAUAAACAAUAUAUUCAUUAAUUUAAUAAAAAUAUAAAAAUUUUUAUACGAUAAUUUUUACAUUAUUAUUUAAUUAUAAAUCAUCAUAUAUAAUAAAUUUUUUAAUUUUAUAAUAAUUAUUAAACUUAAUUACAUUUUUUAUCUCUCUCAAUAAUCCUCAUAUUCUAAUUCUAAUUGGACGAAUUGGGUCAAUUGUAUGAUCUUGGUCACUUCAUUAAUCUUCAAUUAAAUAUUUCACAAGAAUAAAUGCACAUAUUAUGCGGAAAAUUGUUCUCACAAGAUAUUAUUUUUUAAUUAAAUAUAUAUAAUAAUUUUAUUUAUUUUGUUGUCAUAAAAAAAUAGCGUUGUCACUGUAAGAUAUUUUAAAAAAGUGAAAUGUAAAAAAUUAUAAAAAUUAUAAAAAUUAAUAUUAUUUUUUUUCUUUAUUUUUUAAUUUUUACCACUCCUCCAACACUAAACACAUCGGAUUUCAAAAAAAGUAAUAUAACAAUGUCACAAAUAGAGAAAGAGAUUAAGAGAUUCAUAAAAUUGUGUAUUUUGUAAAUAAAUAAAUAAUUUUUCUAAUAAAAUAUCAUAGAUGACUUUUUUACUCCCAUUUAAGUUUUUGGAUCCAUUAUUGCGUGGUACUAAAUAUUGAUAUGUCAAUCACGUGGUUACUAUCAUGCUACUUAACAAAUAUGCUGACAUAAUUUAAUUUAUAAUUUUUGCCUCUUAAAUAUUACAACGGUAAAAAAAUAUAGCCAAAGAUGUAAUUAAGUCUCAUUAAUACAUGUGUCUAGAAAGACACCAACUAUAACAUCAUUGGAUAGUGUCACAUCAAUAAAAAAUAUAUAAAAAAUUUAGCUAUAAAAAUAUUAUUUUGAACAAAAAGAUAUUAUUUUUUAACAAAAAUAUAUUUUAUAAUUAAUUAAUUAAAUACGUUUGAGAUGAAAUUUAAAGAUUAAUUGACUUAAAAAUAUCGCUACUAUGCAAAAAGAUUGGACAUGAGUCCACAUGGUAUUUUCAAUUUAUUACUUAUUGGCUUUUAUAAUUACUAAGGACUGGAUUUUUUUUUUCAUAUUGAAUAAUAUUGUAUCAAUUCCCACAGAUUUUAUUUUUAUAGCAUUCUAUAGAUUUCAGACAUCUUGCACGUUAACAUAUAAUAAUUGUUUCUUUUUUUAAGAAUAGAAAAUUAUACACUUAGAUUAUCUAAACUCUAAAGUAACAUGCAUGGAACUUGAAUCCUUAAAAUACUACUCUAGCUUAUAAAGAUUUCACAUAAUCCAUAUGAUUCUCUUUUUAAAAUUAUAGUAAAAUCAAAAUACUGCCCACUUCGCUUCAUGGAAGAAUUUUAAAAAGUUGAAAAAAAAAACAUUUAUUUAAGGUCAAACAAACGUCGAUCAAUAGGAUCAAUCUUAUUUUUAAAAUAAAAACUUAUUUCACAAAAUUUGCGACCACUGCACAACAAAAAAGUGAGAGAACGCUCUAUAGUCUAUAAUUUUUUGUUUUUGUUUUUGGUAAUUAAGCAGUCUAUAAAGUCUAUUGCCCAGACUAUAUGUAGUUAAACAGUGCUUUAGAAGUUAUAUUCGAUGAUGAUUGAACUAAUAGACAAAAUUUAUAAUUAUUAGUGUUGAAUUUUAAAAUUUUCAUAGUCCAAUUAACCAAAAUCAAUAUUUAAAAAAAAAAUGAAUGCAUCUUUCUAAGAACAUGCUUACAAAAGUAGACUUUGAACUUAGAUAUUUUAUUCCCUUCGGUCUGAGUACUUUUAUAAACAUUAAGUGAUUAGAAAUCCUAUUACUUAUUGUAUCAAUGCCAGGAUAACAUAUACUCAUCAUGAAGCUAAUCGUGUGGGGUUUGCCUUGAGCUCCUUAUCAAGUUCUCUUCAGUUUUUCUCUACUCCAGCGUCCUUGCUUUGGAAAGAUUAUAUUGGGGGUUUCAUACCCCUGUAUUGUUAUGUUCUAGUGGCUUUUGCCUCCCUGUUAGCAAAAAAGAUUUGGAUAAUUAUGAGCCAUUUUUUUUUAUUCCUAAGGUUGAGAUCUUGUUUCUUGGAUGUAUGCAUGUAUGUGUAAUAAGUUCUUGAACACAAGGUUUAUUUGUAAUUUACUUCACUUGAAGAUUUAGGAUUUCAAUUAAGGAUACAAAGGUUCAUUCGUUAUUGUUUGUGGAAGUAAACACAAUUAAUUACUUAAGAAAAUGUUUUUGUUUUCCUUCAAACAGUGUUGUUAUUCCUUCAUGUGAGCCUUCAAACAUUACUAUAACUUAUAUGACGCCUACAAGAGAGAGUGACAAAAAGAUUAAAAUUUAAAACAUUACAAAAAGAUAGAGAGCAUUACCUUGUGAGGAUAGGCCGGGUUUGAAUAAAAGAUGAACACACUAAUAAAAAAAGAAAACAAGAAAUGUAUAGUAAAAGAAAACCAUAGAAUGACGGCAUACUUUUAUAAGAGAAAGAUCGAGAGGUACAUUGAUUUGAUUAUUUAUUUUUCAAGGCAUCUUGGAACCAAAGAAUACCAUUUUGAGUAUUGAAGCAGGAACGGAAAUAUGAGUGCACUACUGAGAAGGUUUCAACAGUCACAGUUGUUGUGUUAAAAAUUGACAUAGAAAGUGACUUUCUAAACUAUUUUUAAGUAGAAUCAAUCUAGAAUGUCUUGCUAGAAAUUUCAAAAGUUAGAAAAUACAUAGCAUUGUGCAUCAGUUGUUUGAAGAUCUGAUUUAAAAAGUAUUUUCUGGAUCAAUUCUGUACUAGUGUCAUAUUGGAGAUGUUGCGAUAGUGGUCUAUAAGUAGUAUAUAUAUGUGGGCAUGAAAAUAGAUAAGAUACAAUGCUGCAUGCUUCCUGGACUUGGUUAUUUUGGGAGAGUCCUACUUGUCAAUUAAUCUUAAAUGGAUUGUAUAUAAUAUGGUUAUGUUGGCAUGUUCUACCCCUUGCUUUGAGUUUUCAGUACCCUUAAUUUGUACUCUCAACUAAUUGGUACGUAUUAAUCUUUUUUUUAAUAGUAUUAAAUUCUAUUUUGCUUAUAAAAAAAUAUUUUCAUGCAUAAAAGUCCAAGCAGACAAAUGUAAAUAUAUACUGUAUAUUACUGAUACAAAAAUACUAUAUACUUUUAAAGAGGAAACUGCCAUUAAGAUGGGCUUUAGAAAGAAAAAACAAACAUGUCGAUGUAGUACAUUAAUUUUGGAGUUUGAACAACUUUCAAGUUUUCAUCAUUCCAUGCAUCUCCAUUGACGAUACUAAUUACUAAUUGAUCUAUACAAAGGAACACGAUAUGCAAUUUUAUUUUAAUAAUGUUUUGUGUUGAUACGUAAUUACACUUCUUUAGAUGUUUUAACCUUGUUUUUAUGUUUCACUAAAAUUGAUAACAACAACUGGUUUAUUGAAAUAAUAUAUUUUAAAAUAAUAUUAUUAGUUUAAGGAACUUUAAACGCGUGUUGUGCAUGUUUAAGUGAUACCAUUUGUACGUGUUGCAAUACUUAGAAUGUAAUAGAGUUAAAAGAGUAAAUUAGAAACAUAUGUGAAUUGGUUUUAAAAAAUUACACACAUCUCUUUUAUCUUUUUUAAUUAAAACUUACACAACUCUCUCCUAAAGUUAAAAAAAAUUAUAUAUACAUCCAAAUAAUUCUUAAAACCUACAUAAAUAUUAUCCAAACGUUUAACAAUAAUAAGUCAUUGAAGUCACACAUGACAUUUUUAAUGAGUUUAUUUUUUUCUCAAAAAUACCCUUAUCUUUCUCCUUCAAUUAUGAGAAAUUUUGACAAAAAAAAUUCAAGGAAAAAACCACAUCAAAUUAUCAUAUUAGUAAACUUAUAAGUUAAAUGAACAUCAUCACAAGUAAUGAAAUCAUUGAAUCAAUCAAAUUCCAGCAAACACAUAAGUUAAAUAAAUAAUUAUAGGUUUUAGAAAUCAGAUGAAUUUAUCCCAACCAAGCCAUCAAUGAUCUAACACACAAAAUCACGUUAAUCAAUUCUAUAAAAACAAUAAUAACAUUAAAUCUAGAUAUAUUUAAAAAAUAGAAGAAAAAUAUGUAUAAUUUUUUAAAUCUCAAAAGAAAUUUGUAUAUAUUUUUAGAAAAAGAAAAAUAUGUAAUUUCAUUACAUCUCAUGAAAAAUCUGACAGGAAAGCUAAAUUUUAACAGCGGAUACAGUGACUAUGAAAAUCACUCCUUCUUUAAUUCGAUUACAUGAACAAAUGUGGUAACCUAAAAAUAUUAUUGCUAUAGGAAUAGGAGCCAUGUAGAAUUACGGGCGAAUUUUUAGAACCGAGGUCUGCUAGAAAGCCUACCCGGAAAGUCCUUCAUAAAGGAGAAGUCUUAAAAUUAUCAUUUCUUUAUUUUUUUUAUUUGUCUACUAUAGAAUAUAAUAUAUAGAUUAAGAAAUGUAAUCACUGCUAUAGUUUAUGAUAAAACUACUUUUAACUUUUUAAUUAGCGUGAUAUUUACUAUUAUUUUUCUCCUGUUUUUAUGAUAAAUAUGAAAAAUAUUUAAUAAUUAAGAAAAUAAUAAUUCAAAAGAUAAUUCUUAAUGUUAUCUUAAACUGUUUAAAAAAAUGAGAAAUAUUUUUUUAUAAAGUAAAAAAAUAGAAAGAAAUAAGUGAUAAAUAAUUAAAUAAAUUAUAGUUUUUAGUUUUAAAAUCAACAAUUAUAUAUAUAUUUUUCCAAAAUACGCUCUUCACUUUAAUAAACUAAAUCCUUAUUUGAGAAAGCAUUCAUGCAAGCCUAUUAAUCAAAUGGAAACUCUAUGUUAAGCAGACAAUUAAUAUUGUGGCUGUGCUCAUUUGACCAACAGAAAAAAAUCUUAUUUCCAAACCAUGACGGGGUCAUUAAUUAAUAAUUCUCCCACGCUAAUCUUAUGCUGGAAAAAAUGUAUUUAAAAAAUGCAGUAGACUAAAUAAUAAUUCAAAGUGAGCUCAUUAGUGAGGUUUUCUUAAUUUUAUAUUGUCAUGAAUACGCUCGAAAUUUACUAGACUACGCGUUCGAAAUUUUGAUCUUAUCCAUCGAUAAACUAUAUAAAAUCCACACCCUAAAAGACACAGCUAGUUAAAAAAAUAUAUUUUAUCUGCAGCCCAAUGAAUGAUCCUCUUCAUGUGAUCAUAUAUUCAAAUUCAUGGUUGUAAGAACAUGAAGUUAAAAAAUAUAUCACCUGCAAAUCUGAAUAGGUAAUUUAUGGGAAAAAAACACCACGAUCAUAUACAGUUUUGUUUAUUACAAAAUCGUACAGGAUGUUUAACUUUUGAAGAUUUGUGUUCUAUAAUAAAAUAUGAGGUUAAAAAAUCUAACCAAUACGCAUGAGGUAUAAUUCCUUUUGUAGUUUUGUUGACCGCUUCUAAUCGAUAUUUAUAUUGUAUCACAAGAGCUUUUGGCACACACACGUCAUGACACGUGUAUUAUGUAUAUAGUAGUAAAUGUUAGAUUAAAGAAAUAGUUGGGCCAGAGAUUCGAAGAUUGUUGUCCAUCUUGUCCAAUAAGAUUGUAAUCCGGCCCAAUAUAUUGUGAGAGAGAUCUUUGGAUCUCUCAAUUCUUAACGAGCCUUGUUCAUAUAACAUUAAGCUUACUUUUAGAAAGGUAGUUGCUUGGGGCACCCAUCAUUUUUGUUGGAGCACCUAGAAAUUUCUGAAAAUGCUGAAAAUAUCCUUAUGGUAUUUUCGGUUGUAAAUAACAGGUUCAAUUUUUUAUUUCUGCAACGUCAUUUUUUUACGUAAAAUUUUUGUGACUUAGUGUAAGCUGCUUCCGUUAAGGGUGGUUUGUAAACGUAUUUGAUCUCUGGUGGUGUAUAUGCGUUUGUAAGGAGUAUAUAAUGAAUUUUGGUCGAUUUUCGUCGUCGGAAAAGGAAAUGAGUGCAAAAAAGAAUUUGACGUGCGUACGGAUUGACAAUCUGUAUGGUCAUACGGAUUGACAAUCUGUAUGAACCAUACGAAUUGACAAUCUGUACAGCCAAAUCAUUUUUAAUUUUUUUCUUUUAAAUUUUACAAUGAUAAAUUAAAUCAAUUAAACAAAUUUAAUUCAGUUAUUGCUUAAAGCAAAUCAAUUAAAAAAAUUUAAUUCAGUUAUUGCUUAAAACAAAUCAAUUAGAAAAUUUUAAUUCAGUUAUGGUCAUAUAGAUUACAAAAUUUUGCAAUGAUAAAAGAAAACAAUUUAAAAAAUAUUUUAAUGAUUAAUUUAGUAAUUGGUUAAAUUUAACAAUGAUAAAAAAAAUUCAUUUAGUCAUUAAUUAAAAAUAAUUUAUUUCAAAAACAUGACCAAAUGUUUUCAAAAACAAUGGGAUAAUAUUGUACACGACAAAACAACUAUUAUAUAUAAGAACAUUGUUGCAACAAAUUUAGAAUCAACACAUGAUAAAACAAUUAUUAUAAAACAACUAAUAUAUAAUUAAAAUGCUCAUAAUAAUUAAAAUGUUUAAAGUAAUUAAAAUCCUAAAUUGCUCAUAAAUACGACCAAUAAAGCACACAGUUAACAUUGGGAUCAAUGAAUUCAAAAACUAUUUCCAUGUCAGCAGUUAACGACAAGGUCUUGCAAAAAUGUUUCCAUCCGAUUCUAAUUUUAAGUAUCUUCCUAAAAUGAUUGAACACGAGCCGACUUUCUGCAACGUCCUCCAAGUACAAAUGUGUUCAGCCUUUGUCUAUAAGAAAAUAAUACAUGCUACUUGAAACGUCCUGACAAAUAAAAAAAUGUUAUGUCAACAAUUUAUGUUAUGAAACUUAAAACUUGAAAAAUAAAGAAAUGUUGACAACUAGAUUAGGAAGUUGCUUACCAAACUGCUACAGAUAACUUUAUACUCAGCGAGAUAAACCUUUAAGGUGACAAAACCUAACAUUUGAUGGUAUAAAGAGUGUCAUCUUGGGAAUGAUCUGGGCAGGCAACUGGUCUUGAAUAUGGUAAGAAAAAAAAUGCAUUGUUCCCAUAAUGAUGCAAGGAUACUAGAUGAUCUCCGGUCAGCUGGUAAAAAUUUCGUAGUACUAUCCACCCUGCUACAAUGGCUGGUUGGUCCAAAUUUUUAUUGUAUACAACGUUAUGAUAAUUUCCGUCUCUGUCAACCAACUGUCAUACACCAUCCAAUACGUCAUUCCACUUGACAGCAUAUACCUUACCAAUUUCAUCGAAAAUCUAAAUGUCAUAUCACAAAAUAAGGUUGGUUAGUUAUACAAAAUGACAGAAAAAUCAAAUGUUAAUUAAAUCAAAAUGAACAUGACCUAGUCCUUGGCGUGAAUGGUCUGGAAAAAGCCUCUGGUGGAGCCGCGACAUUCUGCAUCAUGUUUUCCAUUUCCCUCCACUCUCUAUGCUCUUCAAUGGUUAAUUCUGACAUAAUCAAGCAAUUAACAAGCAUUCAAACACAAAACAAAAUUAACAUUCAAGUAACUAUAUGUUAAUUCUUACUAGGCACAUUCGCCAGAAGUUGUUCCAGUUCCUUGUUGAGGUUGGUCCAACGUGAUGACGACGCACGAGAGUGUGACAUUCUGAAAUAUAUUUGACAAAAUAAUAUUUUAGUAUUUUUGUUCUACUAACAUUUUCUUGUUUUUAAUCUAAUUUUUCUUUCUGAAAUCUAAUGUUUGUUUUAAAAAUCUAAUAUAAUAUAAUCUAAAUUGUAAUCUAAUCCUACUAACAUUUCUUAGAUAAACUGAAUAAAUAAAUAAAUCAUUCAUAAAAUCAAUAAUAAACAAACUAAAAUGAAUAUAAAUAUUUUUCGUUAUUCCUAUUUAUUUUCUAAAAAAAUGAUUUUUUUAAAAAAAAACUCUUACAGAUUAACAAUCCGUAUGAUUCAUAGACAUGAUUUUUUUUUUAUAAAAAAAAGUCAUAUGGAAUCCGUAUGACAAUUUUUUUUUUUUAAAAAAAACUAUAUGGAUUGUCAAUCCAUAUGACGAAUUUUUUUUUUUAAAAAAAAAGGCAUACGGAUUGAUGACAAUUUUUUUUUAAAAAAAAAGCUAUAAAGAUUGGCAAUCCGUGUGACGGAAUUUUUUUUUUAAGAAAAAGCCAUAUAGAUUGCCAAUCCAUAUGACAUAAUGUUUUUUUUUUAAAAAAACAAGCCAUACAACAAUCUGUAUGGCUUUUAACUAACAAAAACCACAAUUUUUUUUAAAAAAAUCAUAUACGAAUUGGCAAUCUGUAUAUGAUUUUCGCAGAACACCAAAAAAAACGCAGUGAACACACGCAUAAAAUGCCAAUGAAGGAGAAGACAAACUCAAUGAACACCAAGAAAAACACAAUCAAUAAGGAGAACAAGCAGUAACAACCACAAAAAAAUAACAACAACAAAAGAAGAAGGAUAACUUACCUCGAAGGAGAAGAAGAAGGAAGAAGCAACAACAACACAACACAGUCACGGCGGCAGCAACGACGGAACCACGAAUGGCACAAUCACGGAGGCACGAAACGGAGGAAGGAGGAAGAGCACAAAAAAAAAAGAAGUUGAAUAGUGACUCGUAUGGACAAGUCACUAUUUGGCUUUUAUAUGAAAGGGUGAAGGGCAUUUUCGCCCUUUCACCCGGGUUGCUGAGUAUCCCAACAAAAAACGCUGGGCGUCCCAAGCAACAACCUUUUAAAAAAUAUGGUAUUUUUUUCUUAUCAGAUUUCUCAUUUGGUGUACUUUUUCUCUUUCUUCUUUUUACAAUGUGCUGGAUUCAGUAGUAAGAUAAGAAAUUUUAUGGUAAAAGAAAAAUAAAGGAGAACGUAUUUUUAUUAGGUUUAUUUAAAGAAAAUAUAAGAGGAAAAGUCACCUUACUUGUGUUGAUUACUAAAGAAUUGAUGAGUGCAAAUUUUCUUUAUCUUAUUUUCUGUAGGAAUUGGAAAAGGGAAAGUUGGAAAGCAAACAUUUUUGGAAGGUCUUGUUACCUCCCUUCCAACCUUGGGAGCAGGCCAAUCUGCAUUCAAUGUUCAUUUUGAAUGGGACAGUGACAUGGGAAUUCCUGGAGCAUUUUACAUUGAGAACUUUAAGCAAGUUGAAUUCUUCCUUGUCAGUUUGACUCUUGAAGACAUUCCUAACCAUGGAUCCAUCCACUUCCUUUGCAACUCAUGGGUUUACAAUUCCAAAAAAUACAAAAGUGGCCGCAUUUUCUUUGCAAACAAGGUAAUAAACCGUUUACCUAGUAAAGUAGUUAGUUUGUUGAAUUUAAAUCAAUGAGAAAAUUUGUUAAAUAUGUAUAAAUAAAUGUAGACAUAUCUUCCAAGUGAAAAACCGGGUCCACUAGUGAAGUAUAGAGAAGAAGAACUGAAGACUUUAAGAGGAGAUGGAACAGGAGAGCGCAAAGAACAUGAAAGGAUCUAUGACUAUGAUGUCUACAAUGAUUUAGGUGAUCCUGACUCCAAUGCCAGAUUGGCUCGUCCAGUUCUUGGAGGAUCCACCACCUUGCCUUACCCUCGAAGGGGAAGAACUGGUAGAAAAAAAUCCAGGAAAGGUAAGGCUUCUGUUCUAAUACUUAAACAUUUUUUUAGUUCUUUUGCUGUGAUGUUUACUUUAUGGUAUUUUAUAGAACGAAUGAAAUUUUAAAAUGUGAUUAACAUGUAAUAAAUUGUUUAUUGGAAAUUCGGUUUCUAUUUUGUAGUUGAAAAUGUCUUUUGCUGAUCUAAACAUUUUCCUUGCUAUGAUUAAAAAAUUAUUACUAUUAACUUUUAAUGUUACUCUUAUAAUCUUACCAGAUCCUAAAAGUGAGAGUCGCAGUGACUUUUGUUUACCUUCCAAGAGAUGAAUCAUUUGGUCACCUGAAGUCAUCAGACUUUCUUGUAUAUAUACUCAAGUCUGCAUCUCAAAAUGUCAUACCUCAAUUACAAUCUGCACUUAGCCUGCAAUUCAAUCAGCCUGAGUUUAAUAGCUUCUAUGACGUGCGCGGACUCGAUGAUGGUGGAAUUAAGUUGCCUACUAAUACACUUAGCCAGCUUAGCCCUAUACCAUUGUUCAAAGAACUCUUCAGAACUGAUGGUGAACAGGCCCUUAAGUUCCCAACGCCUAAAGUGAUUCAAGGUAUAUUUGAAACAUACUAAUAUUUAAUUUCAAAUAACAAAAUAGGCUGAUUAGUAGAUCUUUUGGAAUGUUCUUAUUUGGAGCAGUGGAGCAGUCUGCAUGGAUGACUGAUGAAGAAUUCGCAAGAGAGAUGACUGCUGGUGUGAAUCCACACAUUAUUAAAAGACUUCAGGUAAAUUUACUAUUUUGCUGUUAAGCAAGUACCAAAAACUAAAUAUUUUAUCACUUGUUAAAUUUGCAGUUGAUAACCUUGCCUCGUUGCAAAUUAAAUUUAUUGCUGGAGUUCCCACCAAAGAGCAAGCUAGAUAGCCAGCUCUACGGUGAUAAUACCAGUACAAUAACCAAACAACACUUGGAGCCAAACUUAGGUGGACUCACUGUAGAACAGGUAAAUCCACAUUCUUUUUAUCUUAUGCAGAAACAUUACUUCGAAAAAUUCGCUGCAACAUCCAAAUGGGUCGCAAGGACUAAAAUAUUUUUAGCAUGUUAAGAGGUAAUCCUUACUAUACAAGUUAACAAAAUGCUCCUAAAAAUAAUUAUUUUUAGCAUAAAAUGUGUUUCAAGUAUGGUCAAAAUUGGUUGCAGUCCCUACUUUUUAAAGAUGCUGAUUUUAUUCCUCAUAUUUCUAAAAUAUGAUGGAUUUAAUCCAUAACUCUCUAUGCUUCAUUUUGACCCGAGGAGGGACCAAAUCCAUCACAUUUCAUAAAAUACAAGAACCAAAACCAUGGUUUUUAAAAUACAAGGACUAAGAUCAAUGUUAAAUUGAGGAAUCUAAAACACAUUUUGCCUUUAUUUUUAUGUUAAUAUAAUCUUCCUUGCAUUUUAUCCAGAGGAGUGGCAGUUGAGGAUCCAGCUUCCCCGCAUGGGCUUCGCCUUCUGAUAAAGGACUAUCCUUAUGCUGCUGAUGGACUAGAGAUAUGGGCUGCUAUCAAAUCCUGGGUCCAAGAAUAUGUGUCUUUCUACUACAAGUCAGAUGCUGCUGUUGCACAAGAUGCUGAACUCCAAGCCUUUUGGAAAGAGCUUGUAGAGGUUGGUCAUGGUGACAAGAAAAAUGAGCCAUGGCGGGGAAAGAUGAAAACUCGCCAAGAGUUGAUUGAUUCUUGCACAAUCCUCAUAUGGACUGCUUCAGCCCUCCAUGCAGCUGUUAAUUUUGGACAGUAUCCAUAUGGAGGUUACAUCCUUAACCGCCCAACUCUUAGCAGGCGAUUCAUGCCUUAGAAAGGAUCCCCUGAGUAUGAUGAGCUUGCUAAGAACCCUCAGAAGGUGUAUUUGAAGACAAUUACAGGGAAGAGUAUCAAUAUUUAUUUUCUCACAACUUUUUUUCGUAACUUAGACCUAUGAGAAUCAAACACCUUUUUUAUUAGUUUUAUUUCCAAGUUUUGUAUUUAACUCAUUGCCUAGUAAGCAAAAAGUGUGUAAAUUGCCAAAGAUUGAAUAAGUCCCUUGCAAAAACAAUAUUUGGUACACUUGUCAGUGACAUAACACAAUUUUCCUUUUUCAUGCUUCAAUCAAAACAAACAUAGUCUUAGACUCUUAGGGAUUAUGAUCGUGGUUUGAAUUUUAUUAAUUAGAUUAUAGAUGAGUUGAAUUUGAAUUGACAAUGAUAUAUAUAUUUUUUUUUAACAAAGACAAUAAUGCAUAUUAAUUAUGCGAAAAACAAAAUACAAUCAAUGUAAUGAUUCACGAUGAUCCAAAAUGAGAUAAUAUAUUGAAAAAAAUUGUUUGCACAUAAUUUUAAUUAACUUUGGAAAGAUAAUCAUUUAUCAACUGAAAUUGUUUUGAGAUUUUUAUUAAGUGUGAGGGUACUUGUGAGAUUUGUGAAUCUAAAUUAAUCCAAAUCUGAACCAAACUGUCAUGUUUAAGAAGUUCAAUUAUUUAUUAACUCUAUUAGAUUUUGUUAAUUUAUCGUUAUAAACUUUACCAUAUGUCAACUAGAACUUAGAAAAUUCAUAAAAGUAUCAAUAAUUUUCAUAUUUUUUUCCUUAUACGAUAUUGUAUAAUCUAUUUUUGCAAAUUAAUAAAUACAAGACAAAAAUAUCACUUUAAUAAGACAUCAUUAUAAACAAUUUUUUUCUUAUUAUGCAUAGUUAUUAAGCACAAUUUAUUUUCCUCAAUGAAAAUAUUCUAUAAUUUAAAACAUAUUUUUAUACUUUUAGGUUUUGAGUUUAAUCUUUGGCCAUGUUCAAAAUUUUACAAUCAACUAAUUAUAAAUUAUUUAAAGCAUUAUGAAUUUUACAUUAAUAUUAUAAAAAGUAGUAUCUUCAAUCCUAUAAGAAAUAAAUUGUAAUAUUUUUUUAAGCCCUUUUAUAAGAAACAUAUUAACACUUUUAAAAUAUAUUAAGUACUAAUUUCCUUUAAUACUCUUAAUUUAUUGUAAUCUAUAUUAAUGAAAUAUUACAUUUUUUAUGAAAAUGGAUGUAUUUAUUAAUCUAUUAACAAUAUAACUUAUACUUAUUAGUUGAAAAAAUAUUUCUUAAAUUACGAGUAAUGUUAAUAUAUUUAACCAUCACUCAAGUCAAUUAAUUUUAUAUGUAGUUUUAGAAUAAAAUUUAAAUUUAUAAUAAUAUUAAUAUUAAUUAAAAUAAUUUAAUUUAACAAUUUGUAUUGAUUUUGAUUAAUUAAGUAUUUAUUUCUUAUACGUAGAAGUAGAGGUAAUAACUAUUUUAUCAUAUAUGACAAUAUAUGAUUGAAUCACAAUAUAUACUAUUAAUAAUUAUAAUUAAAUUCUUAAGUUUUUAUUUCCUUUUUACUUAUUUACAAUUUUUGCAUUAAGAGUGUGUUUGGUAAGUUAUUUUAAUAGUUUAGAGCAUCUCUAACAUAGGUGUUUCAUAACUUGUUUAAAAUUAAGUAACACUAACUAACAAUAUUUUUACCAUUGCAACGAAUGACUUAACACUAUAUUGUUUAAGUGAAUUGCUUGUAUAAGCAAUUGUUGCUUAAUCAUUCUUACCAAUUGAAUAACCAUUUUUUAAUUACAAAAUUUGAAGUAACUUUGUAAAAUUCUAACAAGUUAAAUACUCAUUUUAGUAACUUUAACAUUGAAGUAAAUUUUUGUGUAAAAUUUUUAAAUUUAUAUGACAUUGUAAGACUCACAAAUUUAAAAUAAAUAAUCCAUUUAAGCAAUCACAUUAUAGAUACUCUUAUAAGUUAUUUUGACUAGCUUAUAAACUAGUUUCACUAAAAUAAUCAAGGUUACAGCUUAUAAAUUAGCUUAUGUUAGUUAAAUUGACUUAUAAGUUAGUUGAAGUCACUUACACAUAGAGUGAUUUAUUAAAUAUAUUUCACAAUUUUCAUAUAUGUGUAAUAAUUUAUUUAUUUUUGUUGGCAAAUGUGUGUAAUAAUUAUUUUUAAUGAAAUAUUAUUAUUUUUAUUUUAUUAUUAAUUUGAAAUAUAAGAAUUUAAUCAUCAUGACAAUAUAAAAUAUUUUUACACUAUCGUUUAAUCAUAAUUCAUUAUUAAUAUAAUUUUUAAAAUAAUUAUUAUAAAAGUUAAAAUUUAUCAUCAUGGUAGGUUACAAUUGAAUGAUAAUAUAAAUUUUUUACAUUAUGUAUAUUAUCUUUUUUCUUGUAUUAUAUUAUUAUUGUGUAAGUGAAAACCUAAAAUGUAG